GUGGGGAAUAUUGGACAAUGGGGGCAACCCUGAUCCAGCCAUGCCGCGUGAGUGAAGAAGGCCUUAGGGUUGUAAAGCUCUUUCAGCGGGGAAGAUGAUGACGGUACCCGCAGAAGAAGCCCCGGCUAACUCCGUGCCAGCAGCCGCGGUAAUACGGAGGGGGCUAGCGUUGCUCGGAAUUACUGGGCGUAAAGGGCGCGUAGGCGGACUUUUUAGUCAGGCGUGAAAGCCCCGGGCUCAACCCGGGAACUGCGUUUGAUACUGGAAGUCUAGAGAUCUGGAGAGGGUGGUGGAAUUCCCAGUGUAGAGGUGAAAUUCGUAGAUAUUGGGAAGAACACCGGUGGCGAAGGCGGCCACCUGGCCAGACACUGACGCUAAGGCGCGAAAGCGUGGGGAGCAAACAGG
This 405-nucleotide ribosomal RNA is filed under the name uncultured bacterium. RNAcentral's name for it is "bacterial SSU rRNA". It matches the Rfam family "Bacterial small subunit ribosomal RNA", at positions 354 to 776 of the family's 1533-position model. The record is from RNAcentral.